GCCAUCAGCCAUAUCACCCUGCAACUCACAGCUGGCAUCCCAUUGAAGCUAAGCAGGUGUGAGCCUGGUCAAUACUUGGAUAUGAGACCUCCUGGGAAAAACUAAGGUUGCUGCUGGAA
Non-coding RNA from Lepisosteus oculatus (spotted gar), 119 nucleotides. The record is from Rfam. Lineage: Eukaryota; Metazoa; Chordata; Actinopteri; Semionotiformes; Lepisosteidae.